RNAcentral lists this unclassified non-coding RNA (241 nucleotides) under plant metagenome. RNAcentral describes it as "partial contains small subunit ribosomal RNA, internal transcribed spacer 1, and 5.8S ribosomal RNA". The record is from RNAcentral.
UUUCCGUAGGUGAACCUGCGGAAGGAUCAUUAUUGAAUGAAACACUUCUGGCUUUAUGCUGUUGUGCUGGCCCUUUGGUCAAUGUGCACACGGCUCUGGUCACUUGUUUCUUCUGUUCCACCUGUGCACUGCCUGUAGACACGCUGUGUCUAUGAUAUUUGUUAACACACAACAAUGUUAGUUGGCAUGUUAUAUAUAAUAAUAAAAUAUACAACUUUCAACAACGGAUCUCUUGGCUCUC